AGGACACUGAGCGUCUAGUCUGGUUACCACAGGAGAUGACAGGAGGGAAGCCACACUCAGCUCGGGGCUCCGGGUCUGUACUGCGGGGAAUCGACCAUCUGAAAGCAAAGCCACGUCCGUGUUUUGCUCAGGGACAAGAGCUGAGAGUCACAGAAGGUCAUGAAC
RNAcentral lists this long non-coding RNA (165 nucleotides) under Chinchilla lanigera (long-tailed chinchilla). RNAcentral describes it as "lncRNA (ENSCLAG00000023607.1)". The record is from RNAcentral. Lineage: Eukaryota; Metazoa; Chordata; Mammalia; Rodentia; Chinchillidae.